RNAcentral lists this ribosomal RNA (468 nucleotides) under uncultured bacterium. RNAcentral's name for it is "partial 16S ribosomal RNA". It matches the Rfam family "Bacterial small subunit ribosomal RNA", at positions 28 to 507 of the family's 1533-position model. The record is from RNAcentral.
GACGAACGCUGGCGGCGUGCUUAACACAUGCAAGUCGAACGGAAAGGCCCUGCUUUUGUGGGGUGCUCGAGUGGCGAACGGGUGAGUAACACGUGAGUAACCUGCCCUUGACUUUGGGAUAACUUCAGGAAACUGGGGCUAAUACCGGAUAGGAGCUCCUGCUGCAUGGUGGGGGUUGGAAAGUUUCGGCGGUUGGGGAUGGACUCGCGGCUUAUCAGCUUGUUGGUGGGGUAGUGGCUUACCAAGGCUUUGACGGGUAGCCGGCCUGAGAGGGUGACCGGCCACAUUGGGACUGAGAUAAGGCCCAGACUCAUACGGGAGGCAGCAGUGGGGAAUAGUGCACAAUGGGCGGAAGCCUGAUGCAGCAACGCCGCGUGCGGGAUGACGGCCUUCGGGUUGUAAACCGCUUUCGCCUGUGACGAAGCGUGAGUGACGGUAAUGGGUAAAGAAGCACCGGCUAACUACGUG